Molecule: long non-coding RNA, 2205 nt
Filed under: Carassius auratus (goldfish)
Lineage: Eukaryota; Metazoa; Chordata; Actinopteri; Cypriniformes; Cyprinidae
Description: lncRNA (ENSCARG00000023149.1)
Source: RNAcentral
AUGCCUAGAUCCAGCGGUGUGAGAUUUCAAAUCUGUUCCCCAGCCACCAUGGAGGAACGGAGGGGGAGAUUCCGGAACUUAACCACCCUUCAUCAAAAGGGAAGCGAGGUGGGUGGCCUGGCGCAAGUGUUUUGGACUUUGGCAGUCGGGUUAGGUUACAAUGAUGCAGCACUAAAAGAUUUGUUUAAUAAUUGCCUGGAUGAUCCUUUACCUCAAUGGGAGAUGAAGGGGUUAGAGAUCCUGGACUUUUGGGGGUUUACCAAAUACAUGCACCAUCGUGCUCAGUGGGAUGCAACAACCACACCUGAGUUUCCAGACAAGACUGCCACCUGCCCAGCGCCACAGCACAAGAUGGCCACCAGCCUAGCACCACAGCACAGGAUGGUCGCCAGCCCAGAGCCACAGCUUAAGAUGGACGACUCAACGCCUGACUCAACGCCGUCGACUCGCCAUCGUGGAGGACGGAGGAGGAGGAGACAGGCGUCGACCGUCCCUCAAGGCCUGGAGAAAGUCCCAGAGGCCGAGGCUGUUCCCGAUGUGGUGCCCGAUGCAGUUCCCGAGGCGGAGCCCGAUGCAGUUCCCGAGGCGGAGCCCGAUGCAGUUCCCGAGGCGGAGCCCGAUGCAGUUCCCGAGGCGGAGCCCGAUGCAGUUCCCGAGGCGGAGCCCGAUGCAGUUCCCGAGGCGGAGCCCGAUGCAGUUCCCGAGGCCGAGGCUGUUCCCGAGGCCGAGGCGGAGCCCGAGGCUGUGCCCGAUGCCGAGGCGGUGCCCGAGGCUGUGCCCGAUGCCGAGGCGGUGCCCGAGGUGGUGCCCAAUGCAGUUCCCGAGGCGGAGCCCAAUGCAGUUCCCGAGGCGGAGCCCGAUGCAGUUCCCGAGGCGGAGCCCGAUGCCGAGGCGGUGCCCGAUGCUGUUCCAGAGGCCGAUGCUGUUCCCGAUGCAGUUCCCGAUGCCGAGGUGGUGCCCGAUGCCGAGGCGGUGCCCGAUGCUGUUCCAGAGGCCGAAGCGGUGCCCGAGGCUGUUCCCGAUGCCGAGGCGGAGCCCGAGGCUGUUCCCGAUGCCGAGGCGGUGCCCGAGGUGGUGCCCAAUGCCGAGGCGGUGCCCGAUGCUGUUCCCGAGGCCGAUGCUGUUCCCGAUGCCGAGGCGGUGCCCGAUGCCGAGGCGGUGCCCGAUGCCGAGGCGGUGCCCGAUGCCGUUCCAGAGGCCGACGCGGUGCCCGAGGCUGUUCCCGAUGCCGAGGCGGAGCCCGAGGCUGUUCCCGAUGCCGAGGCGGUGCCCGAGGUGGUGCCCAAUGCCGAGGCGGUGCCCGAUGCUGUUCCAGAGGCCGAUGCCGAGGCGGUGCCCGAUGCCGAGGCGGUGCCCGAUGCCAUUCCAGAGGCCGAGGCGGUGCCCGAUGCCGAGGCAGUGCCCGAUGCCGUUCCAGAGGCCGACGCGGUGCCCGAGGCUGUUCCCGAUGCCGAGGCGGAGCCCGAGGCUGUUCCCGAUGCCGAGGCGGUGCCCGAGGUGGUGCCCAAUGCCGAGGCGGUGCCCGAUGCUGUUCCAGAGGCCGAUGCCGAUGCAGUUCCCGAGGCGGUGCCCGAGGCUGUUCCCGAUGCCGAGGCGGUGCCCGAUGCAGUUCCCGAGGCGGUGCCCGAUGCAGUUCCCGAGGCGGUGCCCGAUGCAGUUCCCGAGGCGGUGCCCGAUGCAGUUCCCGAGGCGGUGCCCGAUGCAGUUCCCGAGGCGGUGCCCGAUGCCGAGGCGGAGCCCGAUGCUGUUCCCGAGGCCGAUGCUGUUCCCGAGGCCGAUGCUGUUCCCGAGGCUGUUGCCGAGGCGGUGCCCGAGGUGGUGCCCGAUGCAGUUGCCGAGGCGGUGCCCGAUGUCGAGGCGGUGCCCGAUGCUGUUCCAGAGGCCGAGGCGGUGCCCGAUGCUGUUCCAGAGGCCGAUGCGGUGCCCGAUGCCGAGGCGGUGUCCGAUGCUUUUCCGGAGGCCGAGGCUGUUCCCGAGGCCGAGGCUGUUCCCGAGGCCGAUGCUGUUCCCGAGGCGGUGCCCGAGGCUGUUCCAGAGGCCGAUGCCGAGGCGGUGCCCGAUGCUGUUCCAAAGGCCGAGACCGAAGUGGUGGCCGAGGCGGUGCCCGAUGCUGUUCCGGAGGCCGAGGCGGUGCCCGAUGCUGUUCCAGAGGCCGAUGCGGUGCCCGAUGCCGAGGCGGAGCCCGAGGCCGAUGCUGUUCCCUAG